This 497-nucleotide ribosomal RNA is filed under the name uncultured bacterium. RNAcentral's name for it is "partial 16S ribosomal RNA". It matches the Rfam family "Bacterial small subunit ribosomal RNA", at positions 28 to 507 of the family's 1533-position model. The record is from RNAcentral.
GAUGAACCCUGGCGGCGUGCCUAAUACAUGCAAGUCGAGCGAACAGACGAGGAGCUUGCUCCUCUGACGUUAGCGGCGGACGGGUGAGUAACACGUGGAUAACCUACCUAUAAGACUGGGAUAACUUCGGGAAACCGGAGCUAAUACCGGAUAAUAUAUUGAACCGCAUGGUUCAAUAGUGAAAGACGGUUUUGCUGUCACUUAUAGAUGGAUCCGCGCCGCAUUAGCUAGUUGGUAAGGUAACGGCUUACCAAGGCGACGAUGCGUAGCCGACCUGAGAGGGUGAUCGGCCACACUGGAACUGAGACACGGUCCAGACUCCUACGGGAGGCAGCAGUAGGGAAUCUUCCGCAAUGGGCGAAAGCCUGACGGAGCAACGCCGCGUGAGUGAUGAAGGUCUUCGGAUCGUAAAACUCUGUUAUUAGGGAAGAACAAAUGUGUAAGUAACUAUGCACGUCUUGACGGUACCUAAUCAGAAAGCCACGGCUAACUACGUG